RNAcentral lists this ribosomal RNA (377 nucleotides) under Eriphia granulosa. RNAcentral describes it as "partial 12S ribosomal RNA". The record is from RNAcentral. Lineage: Eukaryota; Metazoa; Arthropoda; Malacostraca; Decapoda; Eriphiidae.
GAUACCCUACUAUACCAGGAAGUAAAAUUAAAACCGGAUUAUUAAUAGAUAUAUUCUUUAAAUUUAAAGAAUUUGGCGGUGACUUAGUCUUGUCAGAGGAACCUGUUUUUGAAUCGAUACACCACGUGGGAUCUUACUUGCUUUUGUUUUCAGCUUAUAUACCGUCAUUAGCAGAUAAUUUUAAAAGAAUUAAUUAUUGGGGUUUAAUAAUUUAAUAGAAAUUAGAUCAAGGUGUAGCUUAUGGGCAAGUUAAAAUGGGUUACAAUAAGUUGUAUUUAUAACGGAGCAGCUAAGGAAGAAAAUUAGCUAAGAAGGAGGAUUUGAUUGUAAUUUAAGUUUAAUAUGCUUAAAAGAUAUAAGCUCUAAGUCAUGUACAU